UAGAACCUUCAUUGGGCUUGGAUUGGAAGGGAUUUAGCUCUCUUUUGGAGCUUGAGAGAGAUUUCCUACACAUUAGGUGAGUUUUAGCCCUUUUGCUAAGUUUGUUAAAGUUUGAUCUUAUAGUUGAUCGUAAUGCCCGUGUAUCUCUUCGCUCGAUACUUUUAGGGUAUUUUGAGACUCGUGGACAACUUUAUUCGGCG
RNAcentral lists this long non-coding RNA (200 nucleotides) under Ananas comosus (pineapple). Its description in RNAcentral is "long non-coding RNA (ACOM_LNC035506)". Lineage: Eukaryota; Viridiplantae; Streptophyta; Magnoliopsida; Poales; Bromeliaceae. The record is from RNAcentral.